RNAcentral lists this ribosomal RNA (292 nucleotides) under uncultured bacterium. RNAcentral's name for it is "partial 16S ribosomal RNA". The record is from RNAcentral.
GGACUACAAGGGUAUCUAAUCCUGUUUGCUCCCCUAGCUUUCGCAGAUCAGAGUCAGUGAUGGUCCAGAAGACUGCUUUCGCCAUAGGUAUUCCUCCCGAUAUCUACGCAUUUCACCGCUACACCGGGAAUUCCAUCUUCCUCUACCACACUCCAGCCUGGUAGUUUCCGUUGACCUCUCCCAGUUGAGCCGGGAGCUUUCACAACAGACUUACCAAACCUCCUACCUGCGCUUUACGCCUAGUGAUUCCGAGUAACGCUUGCCACCUACGUAUUACCGCGGCUGCUGGCAC